RNAcentral lists this ribosomal RNA (304 nucleotides) under uncultured bacterium. Its description in RNAcentral is "partial 16S ribosomal RNA". It matches the Rfam family "Bacterial small subunit ribosomal RNA", at positions 506 to 807 of the family's 1533-position model. The record is from RNAcentral.
CAGCAGUAGCCACGGGAAUACGUAGGGUGCGAGCGUUAAUCGGAAUUACUGGGCGUAAAGCGUGCGCAGGCGGUUAUAUAAGACAGAUGUGAAAUCCCCGGGCUCAACCUGGGACCUGCAUUUGUGACUGUAUAGCUAGAGUACGGUAGAGGGGGAUGGAAUUCCGCGUGUAGCAGUGAAAUGCGUAGAUAUGCGGAGGAACACCGAUGGCGAAGGCAAUCCCCCGGACCUGUACUGACGCUCAUGCACGAAAGCGUGGGGAGCAAACAGGAUUAGAUACCCCCGUAGUCCCUGUCUCUUAUAC